Long non-coding RNA from Cercocebus atys (sooty mangabey), 2745 nucleotides. RefSeq lists it as uncharacterized. NCBI's taxonomy places the organism in Eukaryota, Metazoa, Chordata, Mammalia, Primates, Cercopithecidae. The transcript has 2 exons. The record is from RefSeq and is a predicted model, not a curated record.
GACCUACCGGACCCAAUUUUUUUUUCCAUCUCAGCCUGCUGAGUUUUUUUUUGUGCACCACCAUGCCUGGUUUUUUUUUUUAUUUUUUGUAGAGACGUUUUUUUUUCUAUGUUGCCCAGGCUGGUUUUUUUUUCCUGUCUUCAAACGGUGCUUUUUUUUUGGCCUCCCAAAGUAUUGGUUUUUUUUUUGUGACCCACUGCGCCCAUUUUUUUUUACUCUUUUUAAGAAAAUAUUUUUUUUUAAGCAACGGGUUCUGAAAUUUUUUUUUGGACAAUUAGUGUCAUGGUUUUUUUUUGAAAAAGGGCUCACUAUGUUGAUUAGUGGGUCUGGAGGAUAUUGGAUCCCAAACCCAAGAAGGUGGCACCCAAGAAGAAUUACAUUUUAAAAAUUAUAAAGAUUUUUUUAAUGAAAAAUAUUGGAUCAAUAAAUUAAUUUCUACCCAGUCUUCUGAAAGGUGAGAGCAUAGAAAUAUGUGUCUGGCAUUCUUCCAAAUACUUGAGCAGUUUCCCAAGCGUCAGUUCACCUUUUGAAGACUGGCAGGGAUGAGAAAGUCUGACUUACUCUGUUUUGUAUUUUGUGUAUAAAUACACACAAAGGGCUGGGGUUUAGAUUUUAAUUCUUUUUUUUUUUUUUUGGCUGUGCUGAUUUAAUCCUGAAGUAUUAGCCAUCCUGCCAGUUCCAUCAUGAGAAUACUGGAGAUGCAUGGAGGUUUUUUUAGUGCACUUCAUAUAUGAGGACUUGAAAGCAUUUCACUUUUACUACUUUGAGUGAAUAACCUGACUUGAUGCUACAUGCAGUAAAUAUUCUUGAAUCAUUUUUUAUUUUUAUAAAUUGAAUCAUGUUGAAUGUUCUGAGCCUUAGUGUCUGAAGGAUCCUGUGAUCUAGGUUUUCAUGUUUGUGAUCAUGUGUAUGUGAAGAACCUAGCCAGGGGUAAGUUUGCAGCGAGAAAUGUACAGUCUAUUGGCAUGGCAUUUGCUAAGUUUUUUCCUUUUUUUUUUUAACAUGUUUGUCUCCUUUUUUUUUUACCUAGUGUGUAGAUGAAUUUUUUUUUUCUUUUUCCUAGGCCUUAUUUUUUUUUGUCAUAAAUUUCUUGUAGUUUUUUUUUAUGUUAAUAAUUCCAACUUUUUUUUUUAAAUUUAGAGUAGAAUAAUUUUUUUUUUAAGUUGAAUUUCAUUUAUUUUUUUUUAUAAUUUUUCAGAAGGGAUUUUUUUUUUUGCUAAUGAUAGAAUUGUUUUUUUUUGCCGGGCGUGGUGGCUCAUUUUUUUUUUCCUAACACUUUGGGAGGUUUUUUUUUGCAGAUCACUUGAGGUCAUUUUUUUUUAACCAGCCUGGUCAACAUUUUUUUUUUCCAUCUCUACUAAAACUAUUUUUUUUUUAGCUGGGCGCAGUGGCGUUUUUUUUUAAUCCCAGCCUCCAGAGUAGCUGGGAUUACAGGCAUGCGCCACCACACCUGGCUAAUUUUUGUAUUUUGAGUAGAGUCUGGGUUUUACCAUGUUGGCCAGGCUGGUCUUGAACUCCCGACCUCAGGUAAUCUGCCUGCCUUGGCCACCCAAAGUGCUGGGAUUAUAGGCAUGAACCACCAUGCCCGGCCAUGUUCCCUUUUUAAAAAUGUGUGUAAGGAAGGGGCUUACUAUGCAAGCACUUGGAGGCCAAGGAGCACUGAAAAUGAGGAGAGAGUUCAAAAAUCAAGUUAGAUUCUGGGAUACACCAACAAAUCUGGACACUACAGUUCUUUUAGAGAAACCUGGGGACGAAAAGUAAGGCUUUUGACCUCAGAAAAUGAACAUACGGGAAAAAUAAUGUGUCCUAAUGAAAUUUCUCUGGUAUUCACAUGUUAUAAAAUGUUAGGAAGAGGGAAAAUGUAUCCUCCUACAAGCCAUAAAUCAGAAUUCUAAUAAUCUAAAGCUAAUUAGAAAAAUAUUACAUGUUAAAUAUUAAAUAUUAGAAAAAAUUUAUGAGGGGAAAAAAAUUCAGGACACAGCUGAAUUUUUCAGGCUGUUCCAGCACUAAAAAAAAUUACAGGAGAGGAAUGUCACAUAUUUUCCUCUUCGUCCCCCUCCAGAUUCCAUAAUAUCGAAUUCAUUACUUUUCAUUUGUGCAUGUCUUAUUUUCCAUUCCUUAUUUGUCACUAAUCCUGUUAGUAAAAGGAUUCCCCCACCUAAGUUCAUAAUUAAGUUUUGGUCUAAAAAGAACUAUAAACAGAAGCACCGUUCCUAGAUUUCUAAUUUUUUUUUAUUUUGUCACAGCCAGUUAACUUAUUAAAUUGGAUACUUAAACACAUAGUACCAUAAACUGGGUGUGGUCCUGUAGCCUCCAGAUCUUCAGUUUUGACUUUGGCCCAAUUCUCCUAGAAGAACUUAAUUUUAAUUCGUUUUAUUGCCUAACAAUCCUAUUAAUAAUCCCGUUGGUUUCAAAGUGUAUUCUCAGGUUUCACAAGAGGCUGAAAUUUGGUCUUAGGGGUUGUCAGUUAAAAAUAACUAAUGUAAUUUUUGGCCGGGUGCAGUGGCUCAUACCUGUAAUCCAGCAGAUCAUGAGGUCAGGAGGUCGAGACCAGCCUCACCAACAUAAUGAAACUCCGUCUCUACUAAAAAUACAAAAAUUAGCCGGGCAUGGUGGUGGGUGCCUGUAAUCCCAGCUACUCAGGAGGCUGAGGCAGGAGAAUCCCUUGACCCCGGGAGGUGGAGGUUGCAGUGAGCCAACAUCAUUCCACUGACUCCAGCCUGGGUGACAGAGGGAGACUCCAUC